RNAcentral lists this ribosomal RNA (2878 nucleotides) under Stenotrophomonas maltophilia. RNAcentral describes it as "23S ribosomal RNA". It matches the Rfam family "Bacterial large subunit ribosomal RNA". Lineage: Bacteria; Pseudomonadati; Pseudomonadota; Gammaproteobacteria; Lysobacterales; Lysobacteraceae. RNAcentral also lists the same sequence under 1 other name. The record is from RNAcentral.
GGUCAAGCGAAUAAGCGCACACGGUGGAUGCCUUGGCGGUCAGAGGCGAUGAAGGACGUGGCAGCCUGCGAAAAGUAUCGGGGAGCUGGCAACAAGCUUUGAUCCGGUAAUGUCCGAAUGGGGAAACCCACCCGCUUGCGGGUAUCCUGCAGUGAAUACAUAGCUGCUGGAAGCGAACCUGGUGAACUGAAAUAUCUAAGUAACCAGAGGAAAAGAAAUCAACCGAGAUUCCGUAAGUAGCGACGAGCGAACGCGGACUAGCCCUUAAGCUGAUUUGGUUCUAGGAAAACGCUCUGGAAAGAGCGGCCAUAGAAGGUGAUAGCCCUGUAUCUGAAAGGGCCAUUUCAGUGAAGACGAGUAGGGCGGGGCACGUGAAACCCUGUCUGAACAUGGGGGGACCAUCCUCCAAGGCUAAAUACUACUGACCGACCGAUAGUGAACCAGUACCGUGAGGGAAAGGCGAAAAGAACCCCGGAGAGGGGAGUGAAAUAGAACCUGAAACCGUGUGCGUACAAGCAGUAGGAGCUCCGCAAGGAGUGACUGCGUACCUUUUGUAUAAUGGGUCAGCGACUUACUGUUCGUGGCAAGCUUAACCGUAUAGGGGAGGCGAAGGGAAACCGAGUCUGAUAAGGGCGCAUAGUCGCGGGCAGUAGACCCGAAACCGGGUGAUCUAGUCAUGCCCAGGGUGAAGGUGCGGUAACACGCACUGGAGGCCCGAACCCACUCCCGUUGCAAAGGUAGGGGAUGAGGUGUGAUUAGGAGUGAAAAGCUAAUCGAACCCGGAGAUAGCUGGUUCUCCUCGAAAGCUAUUUAGGUAGCGCCUCAUAUGUAUCCUCUCGGGGGUAGAGCACUGUUAUGGCUAGGGGGUCAUCGCGACUUACCAAACCAUUGCAAACUCCGAAUACCGAGACGGACUGUAUGGGAGACACACGGCGGGUGCUAACGUCCGUCGUGAAAAGGGAAACAACCCAGACCCACAGCUAAGGUCCCAAAUUUUGUGCUAAGUGGAAAACCAUGUGGAAAGGCACAGACAGCCAGGAGGUUGGCUUAGAAGCAGCCACCCUUUAAAGAAAGCGUAAUAGCUCACUGGUCGAGUCGGUCUGCGGGGAAGAUUUAACGGGGCUAAGCACAGAACCGAAGCUUGGGGUGCAUACUUUGUAUGCGCGGUAGAGGAGCGUUCCGUAAGCCGUUGAAGGUGGAUUGAGAAGUCUGCUGGAGGUAUCGGAAGUGCGAAUGCUGACAUGAGUAACGAUAAUGCGGGUGAAAAACCCGCACGCCGAAAGCCCAAGGUUUCCUUGCGCAACGUUAAUCGGCGCAGGGUGAGUCGGCCCCUAAGGCGAGGACGAAAGUCGUAGUCGAUGGGAAGCAGGUUAAUAUUCCUGCACCUCGCGUAAGUGCGAUGGAGGGACGGAGAAGGUUAGGUGUACCAGGCGUUGGUUGUCCUGGGGAAAGGCGGUAGGUUUGGAUCUUUGGCAAAUCCGGGAUCCUCUAAGACCGAGCACCGAGACGAGCCUUUAUGGCGAAGUCACUGAUACCACGCUUCCAGGAAAAGCUCCUAAGCUUCAGCUUACGCAGACCGUACCGUAAACCGACACAGGUGGGUAGGAUGAGAAUUCUCAGGCGCUUGAGAGAACUCGGGUGAAGGAACUAGGCAACAUGGCACCGUAACUUCGGGAGAAGGUGCACCCUUUUUGGUGGCUCGUGCGAGCUAUAGCUGAAGAGGGUCGCAGUAACCAGGCCGCUGCGACUGUUUAUCAAAAACACAGCACUCUGCAAACACGAAAGUGGACGUAUAGGGUGUGACGCCUGCCCGGUGCUGGAAGGUUAAUUGAUGGGGUCAGCCGCAAGGCGAAGCUCUUGAUCGAAGCCCCAGUAAACGGCGGCCGUAACUAUAACGGUCCUAAGGUAGCGAAAUUCCUUGUCGGGUAAGUUCCGACCUGCACGAAUGGCGUAACGACAGCGGCGCUGUCUCCACCCGAGACUCAGUGAAAUUGAAAUCGCUGUGAAGAUGCAGCGUUCCCGUGGCAAGACGGAAAGACCCCGUGAACCUUUACUAUAGCUUUACACUGAACGUUGAGUUCGUCUGUGUAGGAUAGGUGGGAGGCUAUGAAACCAUGGCGCUAGCUGUGGCGGAGCCAUCCUUGAAAUACCACCCUGUCGUGCUUGACGUUCUAACCUGGGCCCAUUAUCUGGGUCGGGGACCGUGUAUGGUGGGUAGUUUGACUGGGGCGGUCUCCUCCUAAAGAGUAACGGAGGAGCUCGAAGGUACGCUCAGCGCGGUCGGACAUCGCGCACUGUGUGCAAAGGCAUAAGCGUGCUUGACUGCAAGAUCGACGGAUCAAGCAGGUAGGAAACUAGGACUUAGUGAUCCGGUGGUUCUGUAUGGAAGGGCCAUCGCUCAACGGAUAAAAGGUACUCCGGGGAUAACAGGCUGAUACCGCCCAAGAGUUCAUAUCGACGGCGGUGUUUGGCACCUCGAUGUCGGCUCAUCACAUCCUGGGGCUGUAGUCGGUCCCAAGGGUAUGGCUGUUCGCCAUUUAAAGUGGUACGCGAGCUGGGUUCAGAACGUCGUGAGACAGUUCGGUCCCUAUCUGCCAUGGGCGUUGGAGAUUUGAGAGGGGCUGCUCCUAGUACGAGAGGACCGGAGUGGACGAACCUCUGGUGUUCCGGUUGUCACGCCAGUGGCAUUGCCGGGUAGCUAUGUUCGGAAGCGAUAACCGCUGAAAGCAUCUAAGCGGGAAGCGCGCCUCAAGAUGAGAUCUCCCGGGGCACAAGCCCCCUGAAGGAACCAUGUAGACUACGUGGUUGAUAGGUCAGGUGUGUAAGUACAGCAAUGUAUUGAGCUAACUGAUACUAAUGAUCCGUGCGGCUUGACCAU